Molecule: ribosomal RNA, 403 nt
Filed under: uncultured bacterium
Lineage: Bacteria
Description: partial 16S ribosomal RNA
Rfam family: Bacterial small subunit ribosomal RNA
Source: RNAcentral
AUUGAACGCUGGCGGCAGGCCUAACACAUGCAAGUCGAGCGAGCGGCGGACGGGUGAGUAAUGUAUGGGGACUGCCCGAUAGAGGGGGAUAACUACUGGAAACGGUAGCUAAUACCGCAUACUAUCGGAUAACCCAUAUGGGAUUAGCUAGUAGGUGAGGUAAUGGCGUACCUAGGCGACGAUCCCUAGCUGGGUUGAGAGGAUGACCAGCCACACUGGUACUGAGACACGGCCCAGACUCCUACGGAGGCAGCAGUGGGGAAUUUUGGACAAUGGGGGAAAGCCUGAUGCAGCCAUCCCGCGUGUAUGAUGAAGGCCUUAGGGUUGUAAAGUACUUUCAGCCGGGAGGCGUUAUCUGCAGAAUAAGCACCGGCUAACUACGUGCCAGCAGCCGCGGUAAUUC